This 6472-nucleotide long non-coding RNA is filed under the name Lactuca sativa (garden lettuce). RNAcentral describes it as "long non-coding RNA (LSAT_LNC003749)". The record is from RNAcentral. Lineage: Eukaryota; Viridiplantae; Streptophyta; Magnoliopsida; Asterales; Asteraceae.
CCGGGCCCGGUCAGAACCUAAUUGAUGUGUUCAAUUUAGUUCUAUGUCGAAACAAAUCGGAGAUCGAGAAACAAAUGCUGGACAAUAAGUAAGACCAUGUUCCAUGUGUUUGUCCGGCUGAUAUCAUGAGAGCAGAGGAUUAUAUGAUCACUUAUCUUAAAUGGCGUAUCAUCAUCAUCUCAGUUCCGAGAGACUUUGAAAGAGCUACGAUUGCUAGUCGGAUUUUGAAGUCAUAUUUGCAAAUAUAGUUAUUAGACUUAUCCAAGUGGGAGACUGUUGGAUAUAGUGUCUAAGUCCAUAACUUUAUUUGGUAUGUACUUGACCCGACCCGGCAUGGUCCAUUUGGGUUGCAUGGCAUUGCAAUACUUGGAUAGACUAAAUGAGAGAAUAUGGCACUUAUGAUUAUUAAUAUAUUAUAAGUUCUAAUAUAUUAAUAAUAGUAUUAUUUAAUUAGUAUUUGAUCAAGUAUUAAUCUAGUAUUAAUUUGGUGAUCAAAGUGAGACUAAUUAAAUAUAUAAGGGUUGAUUAUGACAAUCAUCAAUUCUUUUAUGGUGGAUUAAUGAUCCAUGGUUUAUGGGUUAUGGAUGUAACCAUUUGGAGCUCCAUGGAUAGUCCAUGGGAGCUACAAACCCAUAGGUCAUGAGAAAUGAAGAGUCAUGACAAUUAAGAGUAUUCAUGUGAAAACCCUAAUUGUGACACCACUAUAAAAGGGACCCUUUGGCUAGUGAAAUCGGACCUAGUAAGGUUACUAGAGAGGGCAUAACCGAUUUUGAGUGCUAGAAGUAUUCUCUCAAGUUAUUCCAAGUUUUGUGGUGUUGUGUGAAGCAUUUGAGGCACAACAUUUGGGGUGCUAGGCUCACAAAGUCUUGAAGGAAUCCAAGCAACAACAAGGUAUGUAUUUCUACUAGUUUUAUAUUUUAUGUAAUCCCCAUGCCAUGCUAGUUAGGAUAUAACCUUGAAAAAGAAAUUUGCAUGUAUAUAGAGAAAACAUAGAUUCAAGGUUAUUAGGGUUGCAUGUACACUUAGGAAGUGUUAGAAUGCUCAAAACCCAUCAUGAACAUUGAAGUAUCCCCUUGCUACCCAAGGGUAUAGAAUGAACUAGAAGAACUUUUAUGACUAUAUAUGUACACAUGAUAUAUAACUAAUAUUUAAACGACCUUCAGACGGAUGCCCGAUAUCCCACCAGACCACAUCUCAACGGCGAAAAGUAAAUAGAGCGUGCAGGCCUUCCUAAGCCUUUUAAACAUUGCUUACAUAACUAUACAUACAUAGACAUGCAAUUGAUAAUAAGUAUAACGAAGCUUAAGUAAAUGUAUUUCAUAAGUAUAAGAAUUUGUAAAACAGUUUGAAGCAUAAGAGUUUGAUAAACAGUUUAAGUAUAAAGAAACAUUUGUUUGAAACACAAUUGUAAAUGAGUUUGAAAUGAAACAUACAGUGUAGAAUGAACAGUUUAAUAAGGAGUUUUAACAUAUAAAACAUUUAUGAAAAUCAUGUGAAGAAAUCUGUUUGGUAAAACGGCUAAUGAGUAGUAAAUCGUUUGAAUGCUGCUUAUUAAUCACAUGUGAUUGAUAUAAUAACUAGCAUGAUUCUACUUGUAUCUCCCCAUAAAACAUUUAAAAACAUUUAAAACAUUGACUUAGGGGUAUGAACUCACCUGUAGCAAGUGGUUGGGAUGAACGGACUGAAACAUGAUGCUACGUGUCAAGUGAAGUCUUGAACACACUCUAUGAUCCUAGUUAACAUAUAAUAUCACAUAUAUGUAUCCAAUUAGUCUUUAAACAACUAAUAAACAAGUCAAGACACCCUAGGACAUGCUAAACACUUUAUAUAAGUGUUAUAAGUCUCAAGGAUUGCAUCUAAGUGUUGUAGGGAAGGGCUAGUGUGCUUGGGGUUCAAGGAACACUCCUUUAAGGAGUUUACGGUUUUGUGGUCACUAGCAAAAGGGUUUACGGUCGUAAACUCACCCUAUUUUUGACCAUUUGUUGUUUGAAGCUUUUUNAGCUUUUUAAUCAAAUCCAAGCAUUCCUGCUUCAUAUUUAAUCCUUAGGAAGUGUUGUGUGGCAUCAAAACACUCCUAAAUGGAGUUUACGGUCUAUGGAUCAUUUCGCCAUGAGUUUACUAUUGUAAACCCUAAUGGACAUAGGUAUUUUGGUGUUUUCAAGUCCUAAACACUUCAAGAUAAUAGCCUAGGUUAGAUUCUAGGCAUUAGGAGUAAAUAUGGGACAUUUAAACACCCUUUUGGGGUGUUUACGGUUUUCGGAGAUCCCCAAACCGUAAACACAUAAAAAUGAUUGUUUUCUUGUUCUUUUAUGUGAUAAACACAUCAAGGAUGGAUCUAGACAAGUCCCUAAGGCAUUGUGAAGCAUCUAGACACCCUAAAGCACCCUUUGGCACUAUAUUUGGUGUUUACGGUUUUGGGAGCCUCCCAAAACCGUGAACACCUUGUUCUUGGUGUUCUUGGGACCUUUUCCUUGAUAUUAGUAUGUAUAGCAAGCUUUAAAUGACUCUAUGAUAGAAGUACUUACUUUGUGGAAGCUUGAAAUGAACUUAAAGUCCAAGAACACUAGUGUGUGUUCUUGGUGUUCUUGUGUUUUGGAAAUCUAAUUAAAACAUGAAAUUUGAUGGAUUAAAGGAUGUAAAAUCACUAGAUGUUGUGAUAUACCAACAAAUCAAGCCAAGAAGUACUUACGUUUUCAGGGAAAUCGGGCGAAAACCGGGAUGAUAGUUGAGAGUGUUUUGAGUUUACUCUUUAGGGUGAAAGUAACGAGGUACUUUGGGGAGUAAACUCAUGCUUAAGGCAUGAGUUUACGGUUUUUGAGGGAGUUUACGGCCCAAACAUAGAUUUUGGCCGUGAACUUCUAAGCUACGUGGUAUUCGCAGUUUAGAAAUUUCAAGACCCAAGUCGUCACAUCCUUUCACCCGUUCGUUUAAAGAUUAAUUAUUAAAAUAAUCAAACGAACUUUAAAUUUUCUAAAAACCAAUAAAAGUGAAAUUGACUUAUAAUUUGAAAUGAUUGACUCUAGGGUUUUACCGGAUGAAGAUUUCGGGUUGUCACAGGUUAGAUGAUAGUUGCGAAUCAUGCUUACUUGGAAAAAUGACAAAGUCACCCUUCACAGGUUCUUGUGAGAGGGGUGAAGGUUUGUUGGAUCUUGUAUACAUGGAUGCGUGUGGACCCUUCAAAUAUGCCACAAGGGAUGCUAAUUGUUAUUAUUUGACUUUUACUGAUGAUUAUAGUAGAUAUGGGUAUGUCUACUUAAUCAAGCAUAAGUCAGAGACUUUCGCAAGGUUUAAGGAAUUUAAACAGGAAGUCGAGAAUCAGUUGGGCAGGAACAUUAAGAUGCUUCAAUCCGAUCGAGGUGGUGAGUAUCUUAGUUCAAAGUUCCUCGAAUAUCUUAGGGAAUGUGGGAUUGUCUCACAAUUGACACCUCCCAGGACACCACAGUUGAAUGGUGUAGCUAAGAGGCGUAAUCGAACCUUGUUGGAUAUGGUUCAUUCCAUGAUGAGUCAAGCUUCGCUACCAAUCUCAUUCUGGGGGUAUGCCUUAGAGAAUGCCGCCCAUAUCCUUAAUCUAGUCCCUACAAAGAAAGUUGCCAAAAACUCCUCGCGAGAUGUGGACUGGUAAAGUACCCAAACUAGACCACAUCAAGAUUUGGGGUUGUGAGGCUUUUGUGAUGCGCGAGUCUCAUGAUAAGCUAGAACCCCGAAGCGAGAGGUGUAUUUUCAUUGGCUAACCACAAAGAUCCUUUGGUUACCUCUUCUACAGACCUAGUGAUAAUGUGGUCUUUGUAGCAAGAAGAGGAGUCUUGAGAGAGAGAGAGAGAGAGAGAGAGAGAGAGAGAAAGAGAGUUUAUAAGCCAAGGAGACAGUGGGAGGCAAAUUGAUCUUGAAGAAAUUCAAGAAUCAAGCGGUGAAGGAACUUCAAACUCUAGCCCUCAACUUGAGGAGGAAACUCCUAUUGAGCCAAUUGACGAGUUUGUACCUCUGUGGCAUUCCACGAGAGUUAGGAAUGCACCUAAUCAUUACUAUGGUUUCCAUAUUAAUGCGGAAGGUGAGACACUUAUUAGUGAUGAGACACUAGUAGGUCUGGAUGAACCUAAUAGUUACGCGGAAGCUAUGGCAGGCCCUGAGUCUACUAAAUGGAAAGAGGCUAUGGAUAGAGAGAUACAAUCCAUGUAUGACAAUCAAGUUUGGAACUUGGUUGAGAAUGUACCAGGUCGUAAGACUGUAGGGUGCAAAUGGAUCUUCAAGAAGAAGACCGACAUGGAUGGUAAAGUACACACUUAUAAGGCUCGACUGGUUGCAAAGGGCUUCUCUCAAAUUCCUGGAGUGGACUAUGAUGAGACCUUUUCUCCAGUAGCCAAGAUUAAGUCUAUUCGGGUUCUGUUAGCCAUAGCUGCAUUUCAUGACUAUGAAAUAUGGCAGAUGGAUGUCAAAACCGCUUUCCUUAAUGGAAAGUUGGCUGAAGAUGUUUACAUGAGUCAGCCAGAGGGUUUUGUCAGCAACGAGUACCCUAAUAGAGUGUGUAAGCUUGAGAAAUCCAUUUAUGGAUUGAAGCAAGCACCUCGCAGAUGGAAUCUUUGCUUUGAUGAAAAGGUCAAGGAAUUUGGCUUUUCUAGGAGUGAAGAUGAAUCUUGUGUGUAUGUCAAGGCUAGUGGGAGUAUAGUUAGCUUUUUGGUAUUGUAUGUGGAUGACAUACUACUCAUAGGAAAUGACAUUCCAACUCUGUAGGAAGUUAAGUCCUGGCUUGGGAAGUGUUUCUCUAUGAAGGACCUAGGAGAACCUGCCUAUAUUCUAGGGAUAAGGAUUUUGAGAGACCGGAGUAAAACACUAAUUGGACUUAGUCAAAGUACCUACUUGGAACGGGCGUUGAAGAGAUUCAGCAUGCAGAACUCCAAGAAAGGAGAGUUACCCAUCCAGAGUAAUGCUAGAUUGAGUAAGACACAAAGCCCUAGUACUGAGGCUGAGAGUUGUAGGGUAUUGUGAUGAUGGCUUCCAGACUGAUAGGGAUAAUUUCCACUCUCAGUCGGGCUGGGUCUUUACCCUAAACGGAGGAGCAAUCACUUGGAAGAGUUCCAAGCAGGAGACAGUGGCUGAUUCCACUUGUGAAUCAGAGUAUAUAGCAGCGAUCGAGGUAGCAAAGGAGGCUAUGUGGCUGAAGAACUUCAUAGGAGACCUUGGAGUAGUACCAGCUAUAAAGGAGCCCAUGAAAAUUUUCUAUGAUAGUGAAAGUGUUGUUGCCUUAGCCAAGGAACCAAGGGAUCAUGGUAGAUCCAGACACAUCGAUAGAAAAUAUCAUUUUAUCAUACAUCGCAUAGAAGAAGGAAUCCCCGUGGCAAAGAGGGUAUCAUUGGAUGAUAACCCACCAGAUCCCCUCACAAAGGGACUGAGUAGGGUUAAGCAUCUCCAGCAUGCUCGGAGCAUAGUGCUGAAUGAUGAUAUAAGUCUUAGUUGUUAGAUAAAUUAUGAAAUUUGCAAAGUGUAAUUGACAUUUGAUGAUGAAUAAAAGUUGUGUUUAUUUAUGAGUAAAGUGUUACUAUCUUAUGUCAAUCGUUUACUAUAAUUUCUUUUGCAAGUUUUGACUUCGAGAAUAGUAUGUUGUGGUUUUACAUAUUAUUCAAAUUUUCCACAGUCGGUCAUAUGUUGGAAGUAGAUAUGAAGUAAGACUGUCAUGAAGUUGGUUGUAGGUGUCAGGAUAUAAGACAACACUUCAUGAGUGCUCAUAAGUUCUUAGUAUUGCAAUCAACCCACACUCACUGGAAUCACUUCAUGGAAUUUUAUUUCGAGUGAUCGUGAGACGGUAAUAUCAUAUAAGUCUUCAAACCAAGAGAUAUGAUUUGUUGCCUAUGAAUUGAUUAUGCAUUGAUUGUACGAAAACGCAUAGGUAACUCGAUGUUAUAAAACAUCCUCUUGUGUAUAAUUCAACUAGUAGUAGAACAAACAUAUGAGUCGAAGUUUAUAUGUUCCUUCUUGGAUUAGAAGCUGAUAUCUGGGCCCCUCGAUGAUUUUGUUUUGACCUAGGUACAGGCCCGGUCAGAACUAAGUUGAUGUGUUCAAUUAAGUUCUUUGUCAAACGAAUCGGAAAUCGGGAAACAAACUGCUGGACAAUAAGUAAGACAUUGUUCCAUGUAUUUUUCCGGCUGAUAUCUAGAACAGAGGAUUAUAUGAUCACUUAUCUUAAAUGGCGUAUCAACAUCUUCUCAGUUCCGAGAGACCUUGAAAGAGCUACGAUUGCCGAUCGGUUCCUGAAGUAUUGCAGUUAUAGUUAUUAGACUUAUCCAAGUGGGAGACUGUUGGAUAAGGUGUCUAAGUCCAUAACUAUUUCUGGUAAGUACUUGACCCGACCCGGCAUGGUCCAUUUGGGUUGCAUGGCACCAUGCAAUUGGAUAAACUAAAUGAGAGAAAUAACACAUAUGGUUUAUUAAUAUAUUAUAAGUUCUAAUAUAUUAAUAAUAUUGUUUAAUUAGUUUUGAUC